GACAGAGGGUGCAAACGUUGCUCGGAAUUAUUGGGCGUAAAGAGCGUGUAGGCGGUCCGGUAAGUCCGCUGUGAAAGUCGGGGGCUCAACCCUCGAAUGCCGGUGGAUACUGUCGGGCUAGAGUGCGGAAGAGGCGAGUGGAAUUCCUGGUGUAGCGGUGAAAUGCGCAGAUAUCAGGAGGAACACCUAUUGCGAAGGCAGCUCGCUGGGACGUAACUGACGCUGAGACGCGAAAGCGUGGGGAGCAAACAGG
RNAcentral lists this ribosomal RNA (253 nucleotides) under uncultured bacterium. RNAcentral's name for it is "partial 16S ribosomal RNA". It matches the Rfam family "Bacterial small subunit ribosomal RNA", at positions 524 to 776 of the family's 1533-position model. The record is from RNAcentral.